Molecule: transfer RNA, 65 nt
Filed under: Platystomos albinus
Lineage: Eukaryota; Metazoa; Arthropoda; Insecta; Coleoptera; Anthribidae
Description: tRNA-Ala
Rfam family: tRNA
About the family: Transfer RNA (tRNA) molecules are approximately 80 nucleotides in length. Their secondary structure includes four short double-helical elements and three loops (D, anti-codon, and T loops).
Source: RNAcentral
AGGAUAAUAGUUAAUUAUAAUAUUUAAUUUGCAAUUAAAAGGUAUUGAUCAAUCAAUUUAUCUUA